CGACCGGCGCACGGGUGAGUAACGCGUAUGCAACCUGCCCGUUUCAGCGGGAUAACCCGGAGAAAUCCGGCCUAAUACCGCAUGUGGCCGAGGGGAGGCAUCUUCUUUCGGCCAAAGGAGGCGACUCCGGAGACGGAUGGGCAUGCGUGACAUUAGCUAGUUGGCGGGGUAACGGCUCACCAAGGCGACGAUGUCUAGGGGUUCUGAGAGGAAGGUCCCCCACACUGGUACUGAGACACGGACCAGACUCCUACGGGAGGCAGCAG
RNAcentral lists this ribosomal RNA (266 nucleotides) under uncultured bacterium. RNAcentral describes it as "partial 16S ribosomal RNA". It matches the Rfam family "Bacterial small subunit ribosomal RNA", at positions 92 to 354 of the family's 1533-position model. The record is from RNAcentral.